RNAcentral lists this ribosomal RNA (497 nucleotides) under uncultured bacterium. RNAcentral's name for it is "partial 16S ribosomal RNA". It matches the Rfam family "Bacterial small subunit ribosomal RNA", at positions 28 to 507 of the family's 1533-position model. The record is from RNAcentral.
GAUGAACGCUGGCGGCGUGCCUAAUACAUGCAAGUCGAGCGAACGGACGAGAAGCUUGCUUUUCUGAUGUUAGCGGCGGACGGGUGAGGAACACGUGGAUAACCUACCUAUAAGACUGGGAUAACUUCGGGAAACCGGAGCUAAGACCGGAUAAUAUUUUGAACCGCAUGGUUCAAAAGUGAAAGACGGCCUUGCUGUCACUUAUAGAUGGAUCCGCACUGCAUUAGCUAGUUGGUAAGGUAACGGCUUAGCAAGGCAACGAGGCAUAGCCGACCUGAGAGCGUCGACCCCCACACUGUCUCUGAGACUCGGCCCCGACUCCUACGCGAGGCAGCAGUAGGGACUCUUCCGCGAUGCGCGAAAGCCUGACGGAGCACCGCCGCCUGAGUGAUGAAGGUCUUCGGAUCGUAAAGCUCUGUAGUUCGGGGAGAUGUUAUGUGUAAUUAACUGUGAACAUCUUGACGGUACCUAGUCAAAAAGCCACGGCUAACUACGUG